This is a non-coding RNA of Solanum lycopersicum (tomato), 250 nucleotides long. The record is from RefSeq and is marked provisional. NCBI's taxonomy places the organism in Eukaryota, Viridiplantae, Streptophyta, Magnoliopsida, Solanales, Solanaceae.
GAGGGUUAGUGGCACGCGGUUAGUUUAUAUGAUCGGUUUAUAACAAGUCCAGUCCUCUACCCUUCUCCACUUAAAAGACCAAGCUUGUCUACAACAAGGUUCCAACUCAUGACAAACAUAUGAUGUGUGAGUUAGGCACGUGUCACGGGUUCAAAUGCUACCACCGACAAAAGUAUGGUAUUUAAGUGGAGAAUGGUAGAGGGUCGGACCCAUUAUCUACCGAGUUUCAUACCGUGCACCACUAGCCCUC